GGGGGGUACGACGGCCAGUGAUUAGAGUUUGAUCAUGGCUCAGAUUGAACGCUGGCGGCGUGCUUAACACAUGCAAGUCGAACGCGAAAGUGGCUUCGGCCACGAGUAGAGUGGCGCACGGGUGAGUAACGCGUGGAUAAUCUGCCUCUGCAAUCGGAAUAACGACUGGAAACGGUCGCUAAUACCGGAUACGCUUAAGUUUUACCUCUUAAGGAAAGAUGACCUCUAUUUAUAAGUUAUCGUGCAGAGAUGAGUCCGCGUCCCAUUAGCUUGUUGGCGGGGUAACGGCCCACCAAGGCGACGAUGGGUAGCCGAUUUAAGAGGAUGAUCGGCCACAUUGGAGCUGAAACACGGUCCAAACUCCUACGGGAGGCAGCAGUGGGGAAUAUUGCGCAAUGGGCGAAAGCCUGACGCAGCGACGCCGCGUGAGGGAUGAAGGUCUUCGGAUCGUAAACCUCUGUCAGAAGGGAAAAAUGUACAGUGCUCCAAUCAACACUGUAUUGAUGGUACCUUCAGAGGAAGCACCGGCUAACUCCGUGCCAGCAGCCGCGGUAAUACGGAGGGUGCAAGCGUUAAUCGGAAUUACUGGGCGUAAAGCGCGCGUAGGUUGUUUUGUAAGUCAGAGGUGUAAUCCCACGGCUUAACCGUGGAACUGCCUUUGAUACUGCAUAACUUGGAUCCGGGAGAGGACAGCGGAAUUCCAGGUGUAGGAGUGAAAUCCGUAGAUAUCUGGAAGAACAUCAGUGGCGAAGGCGGCUGUCUGGACCGGUAUUGACGCUGAGGCGCGAAAGCGUGGGUAGCAAACAGGAUUAGAUACCCUGGUAGUCCACGCUGUAAACGAUGGAUGCUGGAUGUCGGGGCGCAAGCUUCGGUGUCGUAGUUAACGCGAUAAGCAUCCCGCCUGAGACUACGGUCGCAAGGCUGAAACUCAAAGAAAUUGACGGGGCCCGCACAAGCGGUGGAGUAUGUGGUUUAAUUCGAUGCAACGCGAAGACCCUUACCUGCGUUUGACAUCCACGGAAUUUCUGUGAAAGCAGAAGUGCCCGCAGGAGCCGUGAGACAGUGCUGCAUGCUGUCGUCAGCUCGUGUCGUGAGAUGUGGUAGUUCCGCACGAGCGCCACCCCUAUGCACAGUGCCAGCAGGUAAGCUGCACCUCUGUGCAAACCGCUUAGUUAACCGUAGAGUGAUGACUCAGUCAUCCAUGACCUUACCUCACAGGGCGAUUA
This 1226-nucleotide ribosomal RNA is filed under the name uncultured bacterium. RNAcentral's name for it is "bacterial SSU rRNA". It matches the Rfam family "Bacterial small subunit ribosomal RNA", at positions 1 to 1220 of the family's 1533-position model. The record is from RNAcentral.